GACGAACGCUGGCGGCGUGCUUAACACAUGCAAGUCGAACGGAAAGGCCCUGCUUUUGUGGGGUGCUCGAGUGGCGAACGGGUGAGUAACACGUGAGUAACCUGCCCUUGACUUUGGGAUAACUUCAGGAAACUGGGGCUAAUACCGGAUAGGAGCUCCUGCUGCAUGGUGGGGGUUGGAAAGUUUCGGCGGUUGGGGAUGGACUUGCGGCUUAUCAGCUUGUUGGUGGGGUAGUGGCUUACCAAGGCUUUGACGGGUAGCCGGCCUGAGAGGGUGACCGGCCACAUUGGGACUGAGAUACGGCCCAGACUCCUACGGGAGGCAGCAGUGGGGAAUAUUGCACAAUGGGCGGAAGCCUGAUGCAGCAACGCCGCGUGCGGGAUGACGGCCUUCGGGUUGUAAACCGCUUUCGCCUGUGACGAAGCGUGAGUGACGAUAAUGGGUAAAGAAGCACCGGCUAACUACGUG
RNAcentral lists this ribosomal RNA (468 nucleotides) under uncultured bacterium. RNAcentral's name for it is "partial 16S ribosomal RNA". It matches the Rfam family "Bacterial small subunit ribosomal RNA", at positions 28 to 507 of the family's 1533-position model. The record is from RNAcentral.